RNAcentral lists this non-coding RNA (99 nucleotides) under unclassified sequences. RNAcentral describes it as "DUF1874 RNA". It matches the Rfam family "DUF1874 RNA". From Rfam's summary of the family: Hot springs metagenome only. Environment (Bison Hot Springs, Yellowstone) The record is from RNAcentral.
GUUAGUCCCGUUUAUGCGGUGGCCAUCCAGAGGUAAGAGGUGCCAAAGGCACCCGCCGCCGCAGUUCUCCCGUGAGGGAGAAUAAGCGGGACAGGAGGA